Molecule: ribosomal RNA, 139 nt
Filed under: uncultured eukaryote
Lineage: Eukaryota
Description: partial 18S ribosomal RNA
Rfam family: Eukaryotic small subunit ribosomal RNA
Source: RNAcentral
UGGUGGAGUGAUUUGUCUGCUUAAUUGCGAUAACGAACGAGACCUUAACCUGCUAAAUAGCCAGGCCCGCUUUGGCGGGUCGCCGGCUUCUUAGAGGGACUAUCGGAUUUCAAGUCGAUGGAAGUUUGAGGCAAUAACA